RNAcentral lists this long non-coding RNA (222 nucleotides) under Capsicum annuum. RNAcentral's name for it is "long non-coding RNA (CANN_LNC007026)". The record is from RNAcentral. Lineage: Eukaryota; Viridiplantae; Streptophyta; Magnoliopsida; Solanales; Solanaceae.
GGGAAAGAAAGUGUGAAAAGGGGGGGAAUAAUCACAGUAACUUCUAUUAGGGUGAAAAGGGGGGAAAUAAUGCUAUUAUUGCUACACAAUGUAAUUUGAUAUAAGUGUUGCUAUUUUUUGUUAUUUAAUACCUAGGUAUGCUACUCUAUGUAGUUUUUGCUCCAUUUAAAUCAAAGGCAAUGUAUAUGAGUGAGAAUGAGUGGUAAAAUCACCACUCAUCAA